AAGGGUUGCGUAGGCGGUUUAUUAAGUCAGUGGUGAAAGACGGUCGCUCAACGAUUGCAGUGCCAUUGAUACUGGUAGACUUGAGUGGGAUUGAGGUAGCUGGAAUGGAUAGUGUAGCGGUGAAAUGCAUAGAUAUUAUCCAGAACACCAAUUGCGUAGGCAAGUUACUAAGUCUCAACUGACGCUGAGGCACGAAAGUGUGGGUAUCAAACAGGAUUAGAUACCCCUGU
This 230-nucleotide ribosomal RNA is filed under the name uncultured bacterium. RNAcentral's name for it is "partial 16S ribosomal RNA". It matches the Rfam family "Bacterial small subunit ribosomal RNA", at positions 563 to 791 of the family's 1533-position model. The record is from RNAcentral.